RNAcentral lists this ribosomal RNA (794 nucleotides) under uncultured bacterium. RNAcentral's name for it is "bacterial SSU rRNA". It matches the Rfam family "Bacterial small subunit ribosomal RNA", at positions 8 to 796 of the family's 1533-position model. The record is from RNAcentral.
AGAGUUUGAUCCUGGCUCAGAUUGAACGCUGGCGGCAUGCUUUACACAUGCAAGUCGAACGGCAGCACGGGGGCAACCCUGGUGGCGAGUGGCGAACGGGUGAGUAACACAUCGGAACGUGUCCAGUUGUGGGGGAUAACCCAUCGAAAGGUGGGCUAAUACCGCAUGAUCUGGCAACAGCAAAGCAGGGGACCGCAAGGCCUUGUGCGAUUGGAGCGGCCGAUGUCCGAUUAGCUAGUUGGUGGGGUAAAGGCCCACCAAGGCGACGAUCGGUAGCUGGUCUGAGAGGAUGAUCAGCCACACUGGGACUGAGACACGGCCCAGACUCCUACGGGAGGCAGCAGUGGGGAAUUUUGGACAAUGGGGGCAACCCUGAUCCAGCCAUGCCGCGUGAGUGAAGAAGGCCUUCGGGUUGUAAAGCUCUUCCGGUGGGAACGAAACGGUUACGGCUAACACCUGUGACUAAUGACGGUACUCACAGAAGAAGCACCGGCUAACUACGUGCCAGCAGCCGCGGUAAUACGUAGGGUGCGAGCGUUAAUCGGAAUUACUGGGCGUAAAGCGUGCGCAGGCGGUUACUUAAGUCAGGUGUGAAAGCCCUGGGCUUAACCUAGGAAUUGCGCUUGAGACUGGGUAGCUUGGAGUGUGGCAGAGGGAGGUGGAAUUCCACGUGUAGCAGUGAAAUGCGUAGAGAUGUGGAGGAACACCGAUGGCGAAGGCAGCCUCCUGGGCCAGCACUGACGCUCAUGCACGAAAGCGUGGGGAGCAAACAGGAUUAGAUACCCUAGUAGUCC